Molecule: ribosomal RNA, 497 nt
Filed under: uncultured bacterium
Lineage: Bacteria
Description: partial 16S ribosomal RNA
Rfam family: Bacterial small subunit ribosomal RNA
Source: RNAcentral
GAUGAACGCUGGCGGCGUGCCUAAUACAUGCAAGUCGAGCGAACAGACGAGGAGCUUGCUCCUCUGACGUUAGCGGCGGACGGGUGAGUAACACGUGGAUAACCUACCUAUAAGACUGGGAUAACUUCGGGAAACCGGAGCUAAUACCGGAUAAUAUAUUGAACCGCAUGGUUCAAUAGUGAAAGACGGUUUUGCUGUCACCUAUAGAUGGAUCCGCGCCGCAUUAGCUAGUUGGUAAGGUAACGGCUUACCAAGGCAACGAUGCGUAGCCGACCUGAGAGGGUGAUCAGCCACACUGGAACUGAGACACGGUCCAGACUCCUACGGGAGGCAGCAGUAGGGAAUCUUCCGCAAAGGGCGAAAGCCUGACGGAGCAACGCCGCGUGAGUGAUGAAGGUCUUCGGAUCGUAAAACUCUGUUAUUAGGGAAGAACAAAUGUGUAAGUAACUAUGCACGUCUUGACGGUACCUAAUCAGAAAGCCACGGCUAACUACGUG